Molecule: transfer RNA, 72 nt
Filed under: Staphylococcus aureus
Lineage: Bacteria; Bacillati; Bacillota; Bacilli; Caryophanales; Staphylococcaceae
Also listed under: 2 other names
Description: tRNA-Glu
Rfam family: tRNA
About the family: Transfer RNA (tRNA) molecules are approximately 80 nucleotides in length. Their secondary structure includes four short double-helical elements and three loops (D, anti-codon, and T loops).
Source: RNAcentral
GGCUCCUUGGUCAAGCGGUUAAGACACCGCCCUUUCACGGCGGUAACACGGGUUCGAUUCCCGUCGAGACCG